GUGAAAUCCCCGGGCUCAACCUGGGAACUGCAUUCGAAACUGGCAGGCUAGAGUCUUGUAGAGGGGGGUAGAAUUCCAGGUGUAGCGGUGAAAUGCGUAGAGAUCUGGAGGAAUACCGGUGGCGAAGGCGGCCCCCUGGACAAAGACUGACGCUCAGGUGCGAAAGCGUGGGGAGCAAACAGGAUUAGAUACCCUGGUAGUCCACGCCGUAAACGAUGUCGAUUUGGAGGUUGUGCCCUUGAGGCGUGGCUUCCGGAGCUAACGCGUUAAAUCGACCGCCUGGGGAGUACGGCCGCAAGGUUAAAACUCAAAUGAAUUGACGGGGGCCCGCACAAGCGGUGGAGCAUGUGGUUUAAUUCGAUGCAACGCGAAGAACCUUACCUGGUCUUGACAUCCACAGAACUUUCCAGAGAUGGAUUGGUGCCUUCGGGAACUGUGAGACAGGUGCUGCAUGGCUGUCGUCAGCUCGUGUUGUGAAAUGUUGGGUUAAGUCCCGCAACGAGCGCAACCC
Molecule: ribosomal RNA, 511 nt
Filed under: Klebsiella pneumoniae
Lineage: Bacteria; Pseudomonadati; Pseudomonadota; Gammaproteobacteria; Enterobacterales; Enterobacteriaceae
Also listed under: 1 other name
Description: bacterial SSU rRNA
Rfam family: Bacterial small subunit ribosomal RNA
Source: RNAcentral